This 83-nucleotide transfer RNA is filed under the name bacterium. RNAcentral's name for it is "tRNA-Leu". It matches the Rfam family "tRNA". From Rfam's summary of the family: Transfer RNA (tRNA) molecules are approximately 80 nucleotides in length. The record is from RNAcentral.
GCCGAGGUGGUGAAAUGGCAGACACGCUAGUUUCAGGUACUAGUGCCCGCAAGGGCGUGGGGGUUCAACUCCCCCCUUCGGCA